This 1115-nucleotide unclassified non-coding RNA is filed under the name Bombus terrestris (buff-tailed bumblebee). RNAcentral's name for it is "misc RNA ENSBTSG00005036228.1". The record is from RNAcentral. Lineage: Eukaryota; Metazoa; Arthropoda; Insecta; Hymenoptera; Apidae.
AAAUUACAAAAGCUAUACGAUUCCUGUUGGGUUCAAUGAAUUCCGUGAACUUCAGCUAAUACAUUGAUACACAAUAGUUUGGCAAUAUCAAUUUGCAUAUAUCUAUAAAUGUGUUAAGUAAAGCUGACGGGACCAGCUUUGGCCCUAAUUUUGUACUCUUUUCGACCUUUCUCAAAAAGUAGAGCUCUGACGCGAAUUCUGAUCAUCGCACGCAAUUCUGUGAACAUUUCUCUACAAGAGACGUUCCUAGCGCGAAUCAAAAAAUUUUUCAAUUCCGUACAGGAAACAAAAUAGUCAUGCGUUACGUUAAAUUUUUAAAAUGCACUGACAAAAGGUCAGUACGUAUGCUAGCUACUUUCAAAAAUCACAGCUGUGUUAUAAUGUUGAGAUAAAAUAAUAUAAUCCUAUUCUGUGAACCAUGUGACAUGUGUGUACACGUGUGACCCAUCGCGAUGCACGCCGCCUCACGGGACAGACACGUAUGACCCGCCGAUGGUGCACGCCGGUGUCAACGUGUUAAUGUACAUUAUUUAGGCCAUUCAAAUUUGCAUAUGUAAGCGUUCGAAUAUUUUCGUGAGCCACUGUAUAUACUUAUAUCAUUUAUACAUAUAUUAUGUUUAUAUUAUGACGUGAUGAUCUACACACGACUAACCUCGUGACAACAACGAUAAUAAAUACAGGCAUUGUCUAGCCGAUCGUCUUUUAGCAACGGUGAUUCGCGUGUUUUUUCCAACGCUCUCCGUUAGUCGUCUAGUUUGUUACAAAGUCACGGUUUACUACACGGACUAGAUGCAUAGUAUACGCACGGUGUAUAAGAAUGAAAAGAGAAAAUGAAAUAAUAUAGUACGAUGUAUGACCAGCGAAUAAAAGAUAUAGAUAUGUGUAUAAAUAAUUUCUAAGUUACAUGGCAUUGUCUGUUUUUGAAGUCAAUUGUAGACACACAGAAAAUAUAUAUUUUGCCUAAUCCUAUACAUAAUGCUUGCAACUCAUCGUCGUACAGCCAUUCUAAUUGAAAUUUGUAGAGUUGUACAUACCUGAAAUAGGGUACUGUGAGAUUUUCUGUGGAUCUGGAAUGCGUGAUAUCCUGGGACAUUCGCCUGGACCUACGAUGCAAC